Long non-coding RNA from Brienomyrus brachyistius, 5027 nucleotides. RefSeq lists it as uncharacterized. NCBI's taxonomy places the organism in Eukaryota, Metazoa, Chordata, Actinopteri, Osteoglossiformes, Mormyridae. The record is from RefSeq and is a predicted model, not a curated record. The transcript has 4 exons.
GCCAGGGCUUCUCCUCUCCGCUCUCCACUUCACUCUGACAUCUUGUUCUACAGUUUUUUUUCCUUGCGUUGCUCGGGAGACGAUGCCUUUAAGCACUUUCGGAUAAAAACACGCACAAACGAGGUCAUUAGCCUUGGCCGGAGCCCCUGACAGGCUUACGGCUUAAAGCGUACACUCGCGGUAACAGCAAUCACCCUGACAUUUUACUUAAUCUGGAUUUAUGGGGACAAAGUGCUCCUUUCAGCUACAAUGCAGCCACUCCAAAUUUGACAAGCUCUUCGUCACCUGACCUCCUGAGGCUGAAGGCAGAGAGCCUAGAAUGCUGCUGGCCCUUUUCUCCCUGGAUCAAUCAGCUAAUGCCGUCCAUGAUGUCUGGAUGCCGAUUGGUGGAGUGAUGUCACCCUGGAAGAAAAUCGGAGGCAUGACGUCAUCCCAGAUGCUGAAUAGAGAAAUGAUGUUUGGGUUAUGAAUGUGUGGCUUAGCAGGCUAAGCCUCUGUGCUUGUGAUCAGAGGGUUGCUGGUAUGAACCCAUCUUCAGCAGAAUAGUCACAUGUCUCUGGACCCCUGAACAAAGCCCUUAACGCCCAACUCCAUGGGUGUCUCCGCAGGAGGCUGCCCUUCAUUGCUAAGCUUGCUCUCACCUGCAUGUGCGUCAUGGAGAGCUAGAUGGGGUGGCUCUUACGGCUUGACCCCGUGACUCACUCACCAGCUUCACCAGUUCUGCCUUCGCCUGCUACAGACGAGUGGCGGCUCGGAUCCACAGGAAGCCCCCGGCUUUGCUCCCAAAGCUCACCGUUGCCCUCUACAGGAGCUGCAUCCUUCGAAGGGCAAACCGGGACACACCUACUUCACCUCAGCGCAAUGAAUCCUGGGAUAGAUUCAGCCAUGAAGGAUCCAUCGGGUGCAUCCUUCACGGGGCAGGAAAGGAUUUCAAGACGUCUUCAAAAUGGGAUAUUCUGGUUGUGCCACUGUGGUGUAUUUGGCCUUCGAUGUGUAUGUUUGGUUAAUGACAGGUUUCCGUCUCUGUCCUGUCUCUGUCUAGGGUAGAAUAGGUCACAGGAAGUUAAUAACAAUAUAUAUCAGUCAGCUGUCAUUAUAGAAUAUUAAUAAUUUGUGUUGCUGUCAAUAUGCCUCAAGUCCAGCCCCCAAACACCUGCAACGUGUCCUGAUGUUAAAUCAUUCUGCAUCUCUGUUCUGCUUCUCUGUUUCACACAUUUAACUCACCUUCAGAGAGGAGGAAGCUGGAAAGAAGAUAGAUGGAGGAAACAAAAAAAAUCCGGUGGUUGGUUCACCUAGAAAUGUCCGAGAUGGAGAAUACCGGAGGAAUGGGUUUUCAGCUGACGUGAAAAGAAACUUAUUUUGUUCGAAGUUGCUGUCGAUGAUACGCAUAACGCGUAAAGGCAAUCAUUAGAUUUUCCCGUGAUCAGAGGCAUCCAAGCGGUGUCCUGCUUUCGCAGAUCGCCGCAUGACUUUAAGGGUUUACAGCCUGUGAUGCGCGCAGCGGCGCCGGGCGGCAUUAAGGGAAUCCUUUGAAGGGCAUUACAUUAGCGCUGAACCCGAGAAACGCGCUUCUCUGAUUAAUACCUAUGUAACCGUAGCCGUUUCGUUAAUUGGCAGGGUAAGGAUCUCCGAUAGACUAAGUAGAAAGCCUGGACAUCUCCAUAAAAAAGUUUCAGGCUUAAUUAAGAAAGCUGAAGGUAUCCAUUUAAUAGACUUAAUUAACCGUUGUCUCCAGCUAUAUCUGCAAGGAGAGAAAAAAAGGCACGGCUAAAAGGGAAGAUCAAAUGAGUUAUUAAAAUGAUAUAACGGCUGAGUAAAUUAGGGAAGUAAUAUGAGGGCAGGAUAACGAGAUAAUUUCAUUUGAGGUGGAAAUGAAGAGGUAGUUUAAGAGCUUAUAGAUGAUACGGAGAUAUUGAGCAAUAUUCAUAAUAAUAAACAAAAUCAAUAUUUCCAAAGUAAGCCAUAUUAUGUGACUGGUGCAACGUCGAGUAAUUGUGGUAAUUUUGUUCAUUAUAAUGAACAAAUGUAUGUUUUUGAUCUGAUACGUGAUCCUAUUAAGAUUAAGGUUGUAUAAAGAAUGUUACAGUAUAGCUACGGACGGAUAACAGAUUUCUUGAUAAGAAAAUAUUCUAGACGGCAUGUCAGACUUCACUGGAACUGGAGGCUGAAAAGGCAAAAAAUGUGUUGGGGUUAAGUGGGAAAAGGCUCCUGGAUGUAUGAGACACAAUGAAACUGUGAGAUUUAUUUUACAGUAUAUAGAUACUUCUGAUCCUUAUUCUGCUGCAUGCCUAUAGGCUUACUUCCUGUUCAGAGAGCUUUACCGUAGAAGCGGAUCGUUCUCUGCAUCGCGUCCAACUCUUUGUUUUGAAGUUCCCAGUCUUACUGGAGCCACUGGACGUAAAACCAGCAAGGGACUUACAGCCAAUAGCGGGGCGACAGGAAAGCAAUAAUCAAUAAAAUUCAUUACCCUCCCAUCAGCGCCGGGGGGUUUAAAAUGUCAUUUUGAGUACAAAGAACAUGUGGAUCGAGAAUGAGAAUUAUAAGUGUUUAAUAAUUCAUAUGCGUAAGUAAGACUCACUAGCUGAGCUUUGAAAGCUCUCUUUGUCUUCUCUAUUGAUUUUUUUCUUUUUUAACUAACUUGGGGAUUUAUUUGUUUCGCUAUGACUGUGUGCAGAAAAGGGGACAUUCACAGCACACGCCUUUAUGUUUGGUUUGUGUUGUGCCGUUUUUGCACCUGUGUAUGACUACAUAUGUGCAUGUAUACAGUACAUGCAUGUGAGUGUGUGUGCGUGUAUGUUUAGUGGCGGAGCUAGAAAUUAUAGGUCCCCCGACAAAUUAUUACCUAGGAAUCCCCACUUGGAGGGGAAGGGGGUCCCCCUUCAUAGGGGGCAGGUUUGUUAUUGUGUGCUGUGCCAGGAUCUUCUCAAUAGAAAAAACAUUUAUUUAAUAUAUAGUGCAGUAACUGUUUGUUGCCAGCAGGGGGCAUGCAAAUGUGUAGCUUACAUGGCGGUACACGGCAGUUUUGUGUGUUUAUAUGUGGCCGUCUAUCCUCACCCCCCCCCCCCCCCCCCAUCCAUGUUUCCUUAGGGAAGCUCCCGACACACGUACACCAGGUCAAACAACUGUCCACUUCACGAUAAGUCCAGGCCCACUGUGUGAAACGAGUCAGCUCUUUCAAACAGGAAAACUGAGCCCAGGACUUUGCAGUCUCUCUGCAUCUGUGCUCAGAGGGGUUCAGACUGUAAACAAUCCAGCGUAAAUAAUUCACACCUGUCUCUCCAUCCCUGACAAAUCAUCACAAAUACUUUAAAGAAGGGAGCGCCAUUUAAUUUGUAUUUAUAUGGUACGUUCAUGCUGACACAAGGUAAGGUUUCCCCUGAAUAUUAAUCCCUGAGAUUUUAUAACCAGUGAUUAUUUUAUCCUUUUAGUUUUACAAAGACAUCUGCGGUGAAAUGAUGUGCAAGUGAGCAUUGGACAUGUUUCCCGCUUUGUUAAAACAUAACUGUUAUUAAGACCGUAGCCCUUUUCUUGUGAUAUAGGUUGCACAUUGUAUUGAUUUUCAGGCACUUGAAAGCCACUGUGCUGUGGGGUGCAUAUAAAGGCAUAUUCCUCUUAAAGACAUGCAGCCGCUCCUACAGCCAAUUGAUCAUACUGAAGACGAUAUAAGAUAUUUUUAUGUAGUAAGGAAUAUAACACAUAGAUCUUCUGCUGGAUCUUUCAUUACUGUUGUGACUAUCACCCUAAAAGUAAGUGUGCACUCCUUCACUUCCCUUAAGUGCACACUUCGUGUAGUGCAUUCUUUACGUUUCUUCAGAGCGUGAAACCUCUUGCUUCUAUUAUCUGCUUCAGGUCAGUGAUAACAGAUUUCUGCAGUAUGCUAGUAUAUACCUCCUCCUGUGUGUAUACCUGUGUAAAUUUCAUGUUGCAAGCUCACCAUGCAGUUCACUUCCUUCUCAAGAGUGCAUUGCCAUGUGCCUUCAUGUAGUGAGCCUUUACUACUGCUAGGGCACUCCUACUGUAUUACACCUUACUGUAUUUAUUUAGUGUGCAUUCAGUUCAGAUAACAUUUCGUUGCAGUUGUGUGCCCUGCAAACAGCAUAAGCUUAAAAAAUGUCUCUAUACACAGGAUGGAACUCUUCAUUAUCCAUCCAUCCAUUUUCCAAACCGCUUAUCCUACUGGGUCACGGAGGUCUGGAGCCUAUCCUGGAAGCAAUGGGCACGAGGUAGGGAACAACCCAGGAUGGGGGGCCAGCCCAUCGCAGGGCACACUCACACACCAUUCACUCACACAUGCACAUCUAUGGGCAAAUUAGCAACUCCAAUUAGCCUCAGCAUGUUUUUGGACUGAGGGGGGAAACCGGAGUACCCGGAGGAAACCCCACGACGACAUGGGGAGAACAUGCAAACUCCACACACAUGUGACCCACGCGGAGACUCGAACCUGGGUCCCAAAGGUGUGAGGUAACAGUGCUAACCACUGCACCACCAUGCCACCCCCCUCUUCAUUAUUAAAUAUUAAAUAAUUCACUAUUAUGACUCUUGAAAAUUGCAGGGUUCGGUUGCUAUAUAAAUAAAGCAAUGUCUUUCCUGUCUCUCAACAACAAACAAAACAUAUAACUUCAUUUGUUUUCUAAAGAAUAUGAUCUCUCCUCUCUAUUUUUUAGGCCUCUCCUCUGUGAAUCAAAACAAUAAUGCUGUGGACAGAACACCUAAUUAUCAUCAAGUAAUACAGGCUUUUCGGAGCUCCAAUUGAGCUGCAGGUGCAGGGGGCAGAAUAUUCAAGAACAUCUGUGCACAUUCAUCACAUAAAAUGACAUAGGGAGGUAAAGCUGCUCCGUAAUCCUGACACUGCCCGUAACUCCUUUCAUUAUUGAUAGAGUCUUCGCAGAAACACCAGCAAUUCUCCGUGAUCCUACAUUUAAAAGGUUCCAUGAGAGUAGGAGCCGGAGAUGUAACUUUCAAACAGACAACUUUAAUUAGUUUCCACUGAGCACAGAGGACCGGGCGGAUUGUGAUGAAACAGUGUA